UGCCAUCUAGUACUCUCUACACAUGGGAUCCUACAUCAACAUACAUUCAUGAACCUCCUUAUUUCAAGGACAUGACGAUGUCACCCCCCGGUCCACAUCCUGUGAAAGAUGCUUAUUGCUUGCUGAACUUCGGUGACAGUAUCACAACAGAUCACAUUUCACCUGCCGGAAGCAUUCACAAGGACAGUCCAGCUGCCAAGUACUUGAUGGAGCGUGGUGUUUCUCCGAAAGACUUCAACUCAUACGGGAGUCGCCGAGGAAAUGAUGAGGUUAUGGCAAGGGGAACAUUUGCAAACAUUCGCCUCGUUAACAAGUUCUUGAAAGGAGAAGUUGGUCCCAAAACCAUUCACGUUCCCUCUGGCGAGAAACUUUCUGCAUUUGACGCUGCCACGGUUAGUUACUUCAGAACCGCUCAUAGCUUGUGUACUACUUCAUGUAGGAGCUGCACUACAUAGACUUGUUCUUGUCAAAAUCAAGUAGAGUACGUUUCACUUAACUAAUAUUUUUCGCUUUGUUUGCAGAGAUACAAAAGCGAGGGGCAUGAUACUAUAGUAUUGGCAGGUGAAGAAUAUGGAAGUGGAAGUUCUCGUGAUUGGGCCGCAAAGGGCCCGAUGCUACAGGUUACUUCUCUAGGUCUUAGUUAUUAGUAUCAUCUGGUAAUAUUUUCCCCAUGAUAUUAAUAUUUCCUGGAACACUGUCAUGAUUGCAGGGUGUCAAAGCAGUGAUAGCGAAAAGCUUUGAGAGAAUUCACCGUAGCAACCUUGUCGGCAUGGGAAUUAUCCCCUUGUGUUUCAAGUCUGGGGAAGACGCAGAGACCCUCGGCUUGACAGGUCAUGAACGUUACACCAUCCACCUACCAAGCAAUGUGAGUGAUAUCAAACCCGGACAGGAUGUCACAGUGACGACAGAUACUGGCAAGUCAUUCACAUGCACGGUUCGCUUUGACACCGAGGUACAAAUAUAAGUUCCGUUGGUUCUUUUAAUCUUAUGCUUUUUUUUUAAUGUUGUAAAUUUUAGUUAUUGAUAUGCUUCCUGU
This 1036-nucleotide long non-coding RNA is filed under the name Musa acuminata (dwarf banana). RNAcentral's name for it is "long non-coding RNA (MACU_LNC006341)". Lineage: Eukaryota; Viridiplantae; Streptophyta; Magnoliopsida; Zingiberales; Musaceae. The record is from RNAcentral.